This 735-nucleotide ribosomal RNA is filed under the name uncultured Fusobacterium sp. Its description in RNAcentral is "bacterial SSU rRNA". It matches the Rfam family "Bacterial small subunit ribosomal RNA", at positions 28 to 776 of the family's 1533-position model. The record is from RNAcentral. Lineage: Bacteria; Fusobacteriati; Fusobacteriota; Fusobacteriia; Fusobacteriales; Fusobacteriaceae.
GAUGAACGCUGACAGAAUGCUUAACACAUGCAAGUCAACUUGAAUUUGGGUUUUUAACUUAGGUUUGGGUGGCGGACGGGUGAGUAACGCGUAAAGAACUUGCCUCACAGUUAGGGACAACAUUUGGAAACGAAUGCUAAUACCUGAUAUUAUGAUAAUAGGGCAUCCCAUAAUUAUGAAAGCUGUAAGCGCUGUGAGAGAGCUUUGCGUCCCAUUAGCUAGUUGGAGAGGUAACGGCUCACCAAGGCGAUGAUGGGUAGCCGGCCUGAGAGGGUGAUCGGCCACAAGGGGACUGAGACACGGCCCUUACUCCUACGGGAGGCAGCAGUGGGGAAUAUUGGACAAUGGACCAAGAGUCUGAUCCAGCAAUUCUGUGUGCACGAUGAAAUUUUUCGGAAUGUAAAGUGCUUUCAGUUGGGAAGAAAUAAAUGACGGUACCAACAGAAGAAGUGACGGCUAAAUACGUGCCAGCAGCCGCGGUAAUACGUAUGUCACGAGCGUUAUCCGGAUUUAUUGGGCGUAAAGCGCGUCUAGGUGGUUAUGUAAGUCUGAUGUGAAAAUGCAGGGCUCAACUCUGUAUUGCGUUGGAAACUGUAUAACUAGAGUACUGGAGAGGUAAGCGGAACUACAAGUGUAGAGGUGAAAUUCGUAGAUAUUUGUAGGAAUGCCGAUGGGGAAGCCAGCUUACUGGACAGAUACUGACGCUGAAGCGCGAAAGCGUGGGUAGCAAACAGG